GCAAUGGAAGCAAAUCAGAUCAGAUGCUACGGUAACGGUGGGAGUAGCUGUACAAUCUCUGCUCAUAUGCCCGGUCCGGCCGCACUUAUAGCAACCGGGACUCCCUGCCUUGCACGCCCCAUCGUGCAAUCUCCCACACUUGCCACACGAACUGUGGCUCUACUGUCCUAUAGAUCUGUGAUCUGAUACCUUAAGCUUUUUGCCCGAACUCCCUGUGCCAGAUGUCGCCUCUGGCUUCCUCUUCUUCUCCAUCUCUAAAUCAAUCUCUCUCUCACGAGCCCUAGCAAUUAUGUCAUCCAACGUUUUACAGCUGGACCGGCUCAUAAUUUGACGGAUAUCACUCUGCAACAUCUCAUGAUACUACAAACUAAAUGACAUUUAGUGGCAUAGAAAAAGUGCCACUAAAAACCGAAAAUGCACCAUUAAAGGCCCCCUGGGGAAUCAGCGACACAAAAAAAAAGUGUCACUAAAGGUCUUUAGUGGCACUUUUUUGUUGUGUCGCUGCAGCCUUAUUGGAUUUUAGUGGUACUUUUUUUUAUUAUGCCAUUAAAGAACUUUUGAGUUUUGGUGGCACUAUUUUUAUGCCACUAUAUAAUUUCUAAAAUAAAUAAUAUUUCAUGCUUUUAGUAUCAUAUUUUUUUACCACAAAAAAAUUAUAUUCAAAGAUUUGGUCCAAUUUUUUUUAAACUUAAAUAGAAUAUAAUAUAAUAAAAAGACAAUUAAUAAAUGAAAAACUUGAUAUCACUAUUUUAACUAUUAUACAUACUUAAAACACAUGUCUGCAAAAAAAAGUUUAAAUGUUGUGGAAGUAUUCAAAACAUAAAACCAUCAAGCUAAAUAAAACUUGAUUGACCUUGAACUUUGUAUAAUGCUCCUCUUGUUUAUCCAAAUAACGAACCACCAACAAAACCUAUUUAACCACAAUAUAUUAUUAAUUAACUCUAUUUAUGAAAUAAUCUAAAGAAUAAGAAGAUUAACAGAAAAAAAAAAUCAACAUAUUAGAUGCAACAACAAAUUCAUUUAUGAAGACAUAAAUCAACAGAGCAACUUAUUGCCAUGGAUAAUUUGAAAGUCACUGGUGGAAGACUUGGAAGUCAUUAGUGGAAGACUUAGUGGGUUUUAACGGUGUAUUUUCUAGACCUCCAGAUCAAGCAAGCAAAAAAAGGACACGUAUGAAGUUGGUGGGUCUAAUAGGUAAUUACUAACAAAAGAUAAAGAAAAACAUACAUAGAUUAUAAAUCGCUUGACAUAUUUAUAAACCAUAUAUGAUUUAUAAACACAAUGAAUCUACUAUUCCAAAUCAUUUUCCAAAAAAAAAAACAUUCCAAAUCCUACCCACCAAACACAUGACGAAUUCCAAAUAUAUUUACAAAAUAAAAUAACUACUUUGCUUUAAAGUUUAACUCCAAAUGAGACCCAAAUACAAGAACAAACAAAACUAAAUUUUAAUCAAUUUUCAAAGAAAACAUAAGAACAAGAACCCUUUUUCCUGGUCCUAUACUCUUGUUACCUAUUACAACUUGAGACCCAACACUAAACAGUCAUAACAUAUGCAAGAAAACUCAUGAAGAACAAUGUAAUCUCGCUGAAGAUUUUUAUCGAACACCUUGUGUGCAACUUUUCGAACUCCACCUUGGUACAAAAAUUAUUGGUAAAAGGACCCUAAAUUUAAAUUAUAAACCUUAAAGAACGACAACUCAACCAAAAUAGAAAAUAGUUUUAACACCUUGUUACUUAAAUUCAAAAUUGCAAAAUUUUCAAGAAAACCUCCAAAAAGAAACGUACCCAAAUGCUGUGAAAUUUGAAUUCUGAAGUUUUGUCUUGUUCUUGAUUGGUCACCUUUGUAUUUCACCCUUGAUCGAUCCCUACUGAAAUCAGCAACCAAUAACUCUGAAAAACAGCACCGUCCAUUGAAGUUUCUAAUUUAACAUCUCACUUUUAUCUUACAUUAAAAAGCUACACAAAUUACCUUAAUAACUAUCUGGAAGUGAAACUUCAAAGAAUAUUUAAUCUUUUAGAGAAACUUCAGUACUUGACAUCAAAAUCCAAAUUGUCUACUAUGAAUUACCUUGACAUAAAAUCUUAAAAUCAUAUAAGUGUGUAUAGAGUUAAGAAAUCAUACAAGCUCUAAAUUCAUUGCAAACUUAAUUUUAGUUCAAAAUAUACCUAGACACUACAUAGUUGGAAAAUGUAGUUUAAUCCCACUGUAAAAUGAUUUUUUUUUCGUUUGAGCAUUUUAACAAACACCUUGUCUUCAUCUUUUUUUCAAUGAUCUCAACAACAUAAUACUUAACACUAUGAUAACCUAUAACCAUAAUUCUUCAACAUUACCAUAGCUAUAUAAUAACAGAACAUAAAAACUUGCGACAGAAAAGAAGAAACCAGAACAAGAAGAAGAAUGAGAAAUUGGUGCCUGAUGUUGACGAAAUCGCAGGAAUCAAUAGAAAGACCCAAUUUCGUCAAACCCCCUCUAACAAUUGCAUCUACUCGACCUAAUCAAGGAAUCAAUAAAAAGACCCAAUUUAAUCAUACCUUUGAAUAUACAGUUAGAGGAAAAUUGAGAGGAGAUAUGAAGCUACAUCCACAUUAGACAGCAAAACACCUGUCUUCAUAAAAUAUGGUCACCGCCUCACCGGUGUAUCCUAGCUCCAGUUGUGGCUUCGUCGAAGGUGGUCACCGGCUUUGGAGGCGACAACCACAAUGUGGGCCCGAUAGUGAGUAGGCAACGACGAGGACUACCGAUGAGUCGAUGAGUGGAUGACGACAACCAGGGGUGAGCGACAUGGGAGAACGGAAGAGGGAAUAAAGUGAGAUAGAUUAUCUAUUGGUUUUACCCAAUGAAACUUUUCCCUAAUAAUUUGGCUACAUUUGAAAAAACUCGCUGAGAUUGAAUUUUUGGGAGGCGCGUUUUUUUUCUCUUUAAAAUUUUGGACGUAAGGCGGGGAAAAUAAGUGGGAACCGAAAACUUUGUAGUGUCAUAAAAAAAUAUGUGCCACUAAAGCUAAUACUACAGUGGCACAAAAA
This 3024-nucleotide long non-coding RNA is filed under the name Lactuca sativa (garden lettuce). RNAcentral's name for it is "long non-coding RNA (LSAT_LNC007011)". Lineage: Eukaryota; Viridiplantae; Streptophyta; Magnoliopsida; Asterales; Asteraceae. The record is from RNAcentral.